Molecule: transfer RNA, 81 nt
Filed under: Blumeria hordei DH14
Lineage: Eukaryota; Fungi; Ascomycota; Leotiomycetes; Helotiales; Erysiphaceae
Also listed under: 1 other name
Description: tRNA-Lys for anticodon CUU
Rfam family: tRNA
About the family: Transfer RNA (tRNA) molecules are approximately 80 nucleotides in length.
Source: Rfam by way of RNAcentral
GCCCGGGUAGCUCAAUCGGUAGAGCGUGUGGCUCUUACUAGACAAACCUCAAGGUCGCGGGUUCGAGCCCCGCCUCGGGCU